UACGGGGGGUGCGAGCGUUGUCCGGAUUCACUGGGCGUAAAGGGCGCGUAGGCGGCCCGAUCAGUCGGACCUUUAAGAGCGGGGCUCCCCCGUGGUGGGUUCGGGACGGUCGGGCUGGGGCGCGGCAGAGGGGGACGGAAUGCCGGGUGUAGUGGUGAAAUGCGUAGAGAUCCGGCGGAACACCGGUGGUGAAGACGGUCCCCUGGGCCGAGGCCGACGCUGAGGCGCGAGAGCGCGGGGAGCGAACCGG
This 250-nucleotide ribosomal RNA is filed under the name uncultured bacterium. RNAcentral describes it as "partial 16S ribosomal RNA". It matches the Rfam family "Bacterial small subunit ribosomal RNA", at positions 524 to 776 of the family's 1533-position model. The record is from RNAcentral.